AAUACCGGCGAGAAAUCGCCGACAAGACCGCAUAGGCUCGUCUGCUUGAAGAGAGCAGGCGAGCAAAGCUUUUUUCGCAAGAGAGAGGCGCUGCAGGAUGGGCCCGCGGCCGAUUAGCUGGUUGGUGAGGUAAAAGCGCACCAAGGCAACGAUCGGUAGCUGGUCUGAGAGGACGAUCAGCCACACUGGGAUUGAGAACGGCCCAG
RNAcentral lists this ribosomal RNA (206 nucleotides) under uncultured bacterium. Its description in RNAcentral is "partial 16S ribosomal RNA". It matches the Rfam family "Bacterial small subunit ribosomal RNA", at positions 142 to 334 of the family's 1533-position model. The record is from RNAcentral.